CGGCUGCGUUGCCUAUGAUCCAAGGCCAGGUCUGAUUCAGCACACCUGCAUAAUCUUAGCUCAUACAGCUAAGGAGACUGCCAGGUGGAGAGUGAGCUGAGAGAAAGCACGUACCCUGGAGCCAUAUAAGAUAAGAACGAUAAAGCUGCAGACAGGGCUGCACUGCAGUUUAGGAGCUGGAAUGGAGGAAACUGAAUUAUAAUUGUGUCACUUGAGGAGAUACCUCCAAUCAAAAGGCCUUGGUUCUG
This 248-nucleotide long non-coding RNA is filed under the name Numida meleagris (helmeted guineafowl). RNAcentral describes it as "lncRNA (ENSNMEG00000013306.1)". Lineage: Eukaryota; Metazoa; Chordata; Aves; Galliformes; Numididae. The record is from RNAcentral.